RNAcentral lists this ribosomal RNA (464 nucleotides) under Vreelandella stevensii. Its description in RNAcentral is "partial 16S ribosomal RNA". It matches the Rfam family "Bacterial small subunit ribosomal RNA", at positions 339 to 795 of the family's 1533-position model. The record is from RNAcentral. Lineage: Bacteria; Pseudomonadati; Pseudomonadota; Gammaproteobacteria; Oceanospirillales; Halomonadaceae.
CUACGGGUGGCAGCAGUGGGGAAUAUUGGACAAUGGGCGAAAGCCUGAUCCAGCCAUGCCGCGUGUGUGAAGAAGGCCUUCGGGUUGUAAAGCACUUUCAGUGGGGAAGAAAGCCUUGGGGCUAAUACCCUCGAGGAAGGACAUCACCCACAGAAGAAGCACCGGCUAACUCCGUGCCAGCAGCCGCGGUAAUACGGAGGGUGCGAGCGUUAAUCGGAAUUACUGGGCGUAAAGCGCGCGUAGGCGGUCUGAUAAGCCGGUUGUGAAAGCCCCGGGCUCAACCUGGGAACGGCAUCCGGAACUGGCAGGCUAGAGUGCAGGAGAGGAAGGUAGAAUUCCCGGUGUAGCGGUGAAAUGCGUAGAGAUCGGGAGGAAUACCAGUGGCGAAGGCGGCCUUCUGGACUGACACUGACGCUGAGGUGCGAAAGCGUGGGUAGCAAACAGGAUUAGAUACCCUUGUAGUC